UCGAACGGUAACAGGAAGCAGCUUGCUGCUUUGCUGACGAGUGGCGGACGGGUGAGUAAUGUCUGGGAAACUGCCUGAUGGAGGGGGAUAACUACUGGAAACGGUAGCUAAUACCGCAUAACGUCGCAAGACCAAAGAGGGGGACCUUCGGGCCUCUUGCCAUCGGAUGUGCCCAGAUGGGAUUAGCUAGUAGGUGGGGUAAAGGCUCACCUAGGCGACGAUCCCUAGCUGGUCUGAGAGGAUGACCAGCCACACUGGAACUGAGACACGGUCCAGACUCCUACGGGAGGCAGCAGUGGGGAAUAUUGCACAAUGGGCGCAAGCCUGAUGCAGCCAUGCCGCGUGUAUGAAGAAGGCCUUCGGGUUGUAAAGUACUUUCAGCGGGGAGGAAGGGAGUAAAGUUAAUACCUUUGCUCAUUGACGUUACCCGCAGAAGAAGCACCGGCUAACUCCGUGCCAGCAGCCGCGGUAAUACGGAGGGUGCAAGCGUUAAUCGGAAUUACUGGGCGUAAAGCGCACGCAGGCGGUUUGUUAAGUCAGAUGUGAAAUCCCCGGGCUCAACCUGGGAACUGCAUCUGAUACUGGCAAGCUUGAGUCUCGUAGAGGGGGGUAGAAUUCCAGGUGUAGCGGUGAAAUGCGUAGAGAUCUGGAGGAAUACCGGUGGCGAAGGCGGCCCCCUGGA
RNAcentral lists this ribosomal RNA (682 nucleotides) under Enterobacteriaceae bacterium BM-C1-2. Its description in RNAcentral is "bacterial SSU rRNA". It matches the Rfam family "Bacterial small subunit ribosomal RNA", at positions 62 to 733 of the family's 1533-position model. The record is from RNAcentral. Lineage: Bacteria; Pseudomonadati; Pseudomonadota; Gammaproteobacteria; Enterobacterales; Enterobacteriaceae.